UACGUAGGGGGCAAGCGUUGUCCGGAAUAAUUGGGCGUAAAGAGCGUGUAGGCGGCCAGAUAAGUCCGCUGUGAAAUCUCGAGGCUCAACUUCGAGCUGUCGGUGGAAACUGUCUGGCUAGAGUCCGGAAGAGGAGAAUGGAAUUCCUGGUGUAGCGGUGAAAUGCGCAGAUAUCAGGAGGAACACCGGUGGCGAAGGCGGGUCUCUGGGCCGUAACUGACGCUGAGGAGCGAAAGCGUGGGGAGCGAACAGG
This 253-nucleotide ribosomal RNA is filed under the name uncultured bacterium. RNAcentral describes it as "partial 16S ribosomal RNA". It matches the Rfam family "Bacterial small subunit ribosomal RNA", at positions 524 to 776 of the family's 1533-position model. The record is from RNAcentral.